CCAGCAGCUGCGGUAAUUCCAGCUCCAAUAGCGUAUAUUAAAGUUGUUGCAGUUAAAAAGCUCGUAGUUGGAUUUCUGGCAGGAGCGUCCGGUCUCACACUCAGUGCGGGAACUUGGAUGUCUCUGGCCAUCUUUGGGGAUAUCCUGUUUGGCAUUAAGUUGUCGGGCAGGGGAUACCCAUCGUUUACUGUGAAAAAAUUAGGGUGUUUAAAGCAGGCUUAUGCCGUUGAAUAUAUUAGCAUGGAAUAAUAAGAUAGGACGUAGGUACUAUUUUGUUGGUUUGCGCACCCACGUAAUGAUUAAUAGAGACAGGCGGGGCUAUUCGUAUUGCAUUGUCAGAGGUGAAAUUCUUGGAUUUCUGCAAGACGAACUACUGCGAAAGCAUUUAGCAAGGAUGUUUUCAUUAAUCAAGAACGAAAGU
This 421-nucleotide ribosomal RNA is filed under the name uncultured eukaryote. Its description in RNAcentral is "SSU rRNA". It matches the Rfam family "Eukaryotic small subunit ribosomal RNA", at positions 567 to 990 of the family's 1831-position model. The record is from RNAcentral.